GACGAACGCUGGCGGCGUGCUUAACACAUGCAAGUCGAACGGAAAGGCCCUGCUUUUGUGGGGUGCUCGAGUGGCGAACGGGUGAGUAACACGUGAGUAACCUGCCCUUGACUUUGGGAUAACUUCAGGAAACUGGGGCUAAUACCGGAUAGGAGCUCCUGCUGCAUGGUGGGGGUUGGAAAGUUUCGGCGGUUGGGGAUGGACUCGCGGCUUAUCAGCUUGUUGGUGGGGUAGUGGCUUACCAAGGCUUUGACGGGUAGCCGGCCUGAGAGGGUGACCGGCCACAUUGGGACUGAGAUACGGCCCAGACUCCUACGGGAGGCAGCAGUGGGGAAGAUUGCACAAUGGGCGGAAGCCUGAUGCAGCAACGCCGCGUGCGGGAUGACGGCCUUCGGGUUGUGAACCGCUUUCGCCUGUGACGAAGCGUGAGUGACGGUAAUGGGUAAAGAAGCACCGGCUAACUACGUG
Molecule: ribosomal RNA, 468 nt
Filed under: uncultured bacterium
Lineage: Bacteria
Description: partial 16S ribosomal RNA
Rfam family: Bacterial small subunit ribosomal RNA
Source: RNAcentral